This 70-nucleotide transfer RNA is filed under the name Dipodomys ordii (Ord's kangaroo rat). It matches the Rfam family "tRNA". Rfam says of the family: Transfer RNA (tRNA) molecules are approximately 80 nucleotides in length. Their secondary structure includes four short double-helical elements and three loops (D, anti-codon, and T loops). Further hydrogen bonds mediate the characteristic L-shaped molecular structure. tRNAs have two regions of fundamental functional importance: the anti-codon, which is responsible for specific mRNA codon recognition, and the 3' end, to which the tRNAs corresponding amino acid is attached (by aminoacyl-tRNA synthetases). tRNAs cope with the degeneracy of the genetic code in two manners: having more than one tRNA (with a specific anti-codon) for a particular amino acid; and 'wobble' base-pairing, i.e. permitting non-standard base-pairing at the 3rd anti-codon position. The record is from Rfam by way of RNAcentral. Lineage: Eukaryota; Metazoa; Chordata; Mammalia; Rodentia; Heteromyidae.
GGGAAGGUGGCUCAGUGGUAGAGCACUUGCCUUGCAUGCAUAAGGCCCUGGGUUUGAUUCCUCAGCUCUA